AUACGGAGGGUGCAAGCGUUAAUCGGAAUUACUGGGCGUAAAGGGCGCGUAGGCGGUCUAUCAAGUCAGUUGUGAAAUCCCACGGCUCAACCGUGGAGGUGCAUCUGAAACUGAUAGACUUGAGUAUGGGAGAGGAAAGUGGAAUUCCCGGUGUAGAGGUGAAAUUCGUAGAUAUCGGGAGGAACACCAGUGGCGAAGGCGACUUUCUGGACCAAUACUGACGCUGAGGCGCGAAAGCGUGGGGAGCAAACAGGAUUAGAAACCCUUGUAGUCC
Molecule: ribosomal RNA, 274 nt
Filed under: uncultured bacterium
Lineage: Bacteria
Description: partial 16S ribosomal RNA
Rfam family: Bacterial small subunit ribosomal RNA
Source: RNAcentral